GCGGGGAAGUCGCACAGUCCGGGAGUGCUGGGCCGGGUGGGAACCUUAGGGUUACUGUUCUGUCGGAGCCAGAGUCCUCCCAAGCCGAGGAAAAUAACCCCGAAAGUACUAGUUCCAAAGUCAGGCCUUGGCAAUCACUAGCUGCGCAACCUUUGGCAAUGGCUGCGGCAGUUAACUGAGCACCUCCAAACUUCAGCCUCCUUAGAGCCCUCUAGAGGCCUUAGCGCGUUGAAUUUUCACAAUCCUUGAGUGUCAGUUGGUUGCAGAGCUCAUUCUGUACAAACAAGCCUAGCAAGUCACUUACUCGACUAAAGUAUAAUGAUCGCUGCUAUACUUGUUGAAAGCAUUAGAAAUUCAUAAAAACAUCUAAUGGUGCCUCACAUAUCGGUGGGUCCUUAAUUACCCUGCUUCCUUUCCCUCUCUCUAAACUGUACCUCUACUCUCUGCUUCCUUUAAAGUAGGAAUCUUGUCUAUUUCCACCACCAAUAAAUAUCCCCAAGCGCCUAGAACAGUGCCCAGCACAGUAGGAAUCUGAUACAUUGAAGAAUGAAGUAAUUCAACAUUUUUCUAUGACUACUCCAGUCUCUGACACCCUUCUCCCUAAUGUCACCAUCACCUAAUAAAUAGGAUUGUAUCUCAUGAUCAAAGGGCCCAUUUGGUUCAAACACCAAUCCAGUGUUUGAAAUCUCCUCCACAUCAUCUCUGGGGUCUAUACUUAGCCAUGUCCAGUGUCAGGGAACUGCCUUUUCAAGGUAACUUCAUGAUGUCUUUGAAGUCCAGUCCUGACACUAAAAGUUUUUCCUUAGGUAAUACAAUAUCUCCCCUUGUUCUAAUCCAUGGGGUCAGGCAGAACAAUUCUAAUUCCUAUUCCAUAGGGCCAGAUCUAAUGGCCCUGUUCCCUUCCCAAACCAAACAAUUUACAGAUACCCUGGCUUUGUGGUUCUCAACUUUUCCCCUACUCCCGACACAUCCAAGGACUACACAGACUCCCAUCAUUAAUCAUGGCUGCCAUGGCAAUGAUAGGGAUAGGACUAUGCCUUCACUCUUUCAAAUUAUCAAGUUCUUCCUGGAGCAUGUUGCUAGGAACCCCUUAUAGAUGAUCCUGCUUUUCCCAGAUACUGCCUUACAGUAUUGUGAUCUAUUGGCAUACAGGCCAGGGGCUUGUCUUUUAAGUAGGCAUCCUUGUGGUUCAAUGGGCCAAUAGUAGCUUCAUCUCUGCUCUUCAUCUCUGCAGAGAUGAUCCCACAGGAAAAGUUGAAGGAUGCUGCAGGGGCUUCAACUUGGGCACAGUCUUGAAACUGAAGCUCCACGUUGGCUGUUGGGAGGUGAUGCCAUCAACGAUUUUUUUUCAGCUCAAGCAUAUAUCCUCCUUUAUUCAGGAUGGCAAUAAUAAAGUGGCUCUAGCUGCUUACACGGUCUCACUUCAUCCUGACAAUGACCUGUAUCUCCAUCACCUCUGUGUCCUUGGCAUUAAGCAUGAUGCAUGGAAUAUAGUACCACUUCAAGUUGUUUGAUGAACAACCCUCUGAGUCCAAGAGAGAUGACUCCUUUGACUCCUGGGUCUUUGACUCUUGGUUCUUGAAAUUAAACUACUUUCUGUAUGUUUAUUUUAAAUAAAUAUUAAUAUGCAAUUAAAUUUAUACCAUACCUUACAAAUACCAUUAAUAUUUAUUCUUUAUUAAACAGCUUUAAAAAAAAAAAAAAACCUCUCAUAGGUU
This is a long non-coding RNA of Felis catus (domestic cat), 1718 nucleotides long. RefSeq lists it as uncharacterized. The record is from RefSeq and is a predicted model, not a curated record. Lineage: Eukaryota; Metazoa; Chordata; Mammalia; Carnivora; Felidae. The transcript is spliced from 2 exons.